GGCGGCAGGCCUCAUACAUGCAAGUCGAGCCGAGAAACCUUCCUUCGGGGAGGCGGACAGCGGCAGACGGGUGAGUAACGCGUGGGAACGUACCCUUUGGUUCGGAACAACUCCGGGAAACUGGAGCUAAUACCGAAUAAGCCCUCCGGGGGAAAGAUUUAUCGCCGAAGGAUCGGCCCGCGUCUGAUUAGCUAGUUGGUGGGGUAAUGGCCCACCAAGGCGACGAUCAGUAGCUGGUCUGAGAGGAUGAUCAGCAACACUGGGACUGAGACACGGCCCAGACUCCUACGGGAGGCAGCAGUAGGGAAUCUUGCGCAAUGGGGGAAACCCUGACGCAGCGACGCCGCGUGCGGGGUGAAGGCCCUAGGGUUGUAAACCGCUUUCAGCAGGGACGAAAUUGACGGUACCUGCAGAAGAAGGCCCGGCCAACUACGUGCCAGCAGCCGCGGUAAU
Molecule: ribosomal RNA, 453 nt
Filed under: uncultured bacterium
Lineage: Bacteria
Description: bacterial SSU rRNA
Rfam family: Bacterial small subunit ribosomal RNA
Source: RNAcentral